This 427-nucleotide ribosomal RNA is filed under the name uncultured bacterium. RNAcentral describes it as "bacterial SSU rRNA". It matches the Rfam family "Bacterial small subunit ribosomal RNA", at positions 355 to 774 of the family's 1533-position model. The record is from RNAcentral.
UGGGGAAUUUUGGACAAUGGACGCAAGUCUGAUCCAGCCAUGCCGCGUGCGGGAAGAAGGCCUUCGGGUUGUAAACCGCUUUUGUCAGGGAAGAAACGAGUUUCUCUAAUACAGAGACUUAAUGACGGUACCUGAAGAAUAAGCACCGGCUAACCACGUGCCAGCAGCCGCGGUAAUACGUAGGGUGCAAGCGUUAAUCGGAAUUACUGGGCGUAAAGCGUGCGCAGGCGGUUAUGCAAGACAGAUGUGAAAUCCCCGGGCUCAACCUGGGAACUGCAUUUGUGACUGUAUAGCUAGAGUACGGCAGAGGGGGAUGGAAUUCCGCGUGUAGCAGUGAAAUGCGUAGAUAUGCGGAGGAACACCGAUGGCGAAGGCAAUCCCCUGGGCCUGUACUGACGCUCAUGCACGAAAGCGUGGGGAGCAAACA